This 459-nucleotide ribosomal RNA is filed under the name uncultured bacterium. RNAcentral's name for it is "partial 16S ribosomal RNA". It matches the Rfam family "Bacterial small subunit ribosomal RNA", at positions 338 to 795 of the family's 1533-position model. The record is from RNAcentral.
CCUACGGGUGGCAGCAGUGAGGAAUAUUGGUCAAUGGCCGAGAGGCUGAACCAGCCAAGUCGCGUGAGGGAAGGCGGCCCUACGGGUUGUAAACCUCUUUUGUCGGGGAGCAAAGCGAACCACGUGUGGUUCAUUGAGAGUACCCGAAUAAAAAGCAUCGGCUAACUCCGGUCCAGCAGCCGCGGUAAUACGGAGGAUGCGAGCGUUAGCCGGAUUUAUUGGGUUUAAAGGGUGCGCAGGCGGAGGUGCAAGUCAGCGGUCAAAUUGCGGGGCUCAACCCCGUACGGCCGUUGAUACUGCAUCCCUUGAGUGCGCGAGAAGUAUGCGGAAUGCGUGGUGUAGCGGUGAAAUGCAUAGAUAUCACGCAGAACUCCGAUUGCGAAGGCAGCAUACCGGCGCGCAACUGACGCUCAUGCACGAAAGCGUGGGUAUCGAACAGGAUUAGAUACCCGAGUAGUC